RNAcentral lists this transfer RNA (76 nucleotides) under bacterium TMED161. RNAcentral's name for it is "tRNA-Trp". It matches the Rfam family "tRNA". From Rfam's summary of the family: Transfer RNA (tRNA) molecules are approximately 80 nucleotides in length. Their secondary structure includes four short double-helical elements and three loops (D, anti-codon, and T loops). RNAcentral also lists the same sequence under 1 other name. The record is from RNAcentral.
AGGUGAGUAGUUCAACUGGUAGAGCGCCGGCCUCCAAAGCCGGAAGUUGAGGGUUCGAGUCCUUCCUCACCUGCAA